RNAcentral lists this ribosomal RNA (253 nucleotides) under uncultured bacterium. RNAcentral's name for it is "partial 16S ribosomal RNA". It matches the Rfam family "Bacterial small subunit ribosomal RNA", at positions 524 to 776 of the family's 1533-position model. The record is from RNAcentral.
GACGGGGGAUGCAAGCGUUAUCCGGAAUCACUGGGCGUAAAGCGUCCGUAGGUGGUUUGGCAAGUCUGGGGUUAAAGCCCGGAGCCUAACUCCGGAUCGGCCCUGGAAACUGCCAGACUAGAGUAAGGUAGGGGUUGCGGGAAUUCCCGGUGUAGCGGUGAAAUGCGUAGAUAUCGGGAAGAACACCAGUGGCGAAAGCGCGCAACUGGGCCAUUACUGACACUGAGGGACGAAAGCUAGGGGAGCGAAUGGG